CCGCAGACCACAGUGAGCUGCAGGGCAAGGCCCGGCUGCGGGCCCGGGACGUGGUGCGUGUUCUCAUCUGUAUUGAGUCCCUGUGCCAGCGCCACACGUGAGUGACCUCAGCCCCCGCUCCAGGCGGCAGCCCCCGGACCACCCUUGGAGGGGGCUCACAGGCCACAGGGGUCUCUGGGCACUGGGGGUGGGUCUUGGCCCCCUGGACCUGCAGCGCCUCCCUCUUGCCCUGUGGGGCUGUGUUCAGGUCCCUGGAGGCCAUCUCAGGCCUGGAGAGCAACAGCAGGGUCUUCACAGUGCAGGUGCAGGCUGGACAAUACGCUUCUGUGUUUGUGGCCAACGGCUCCGGGGCCUUCCUCACCAUCCAGGUGGGCUCCAGCUUCUCCGGGCUGCUCCUGGGCACGUGAGGGCGCCGAGGGGGGCUGGCGAGGAGCUGCCGCCGGAUCCCGGGGACCCUCCCACUGAUGCCCGUGGUCAUGACAAUAAAGAGCCCUCCACCCUCCCCA
RNAcentral lists this small RNA (506 nucleotides) under Pongo abelii (Sumatran orangutan). RNAcentral describes it as "retained intron". Lineage: Eukaryota; Metazoa; Chordata; Mammalia; Primates; Hominidae. The record is from RNAcentral.